AGCGUAGGCGGAUUUUUAAGUGAGAUGUGAAAUACCCGGGCUCAACUUGGGUGCUGCAUUUCAAACUGGAAGUCUAGAGUGCAGGAGAGGAGAAUGGAAUUCCUAGUGUAGCGGUGAAAUGCGUAGAGAUUAGGAAGAACACCAGUGGCGAAGGCGAUUCUCUGGACUGUAACUGACGCUGAGGCUCGAAAGCGUGGGGAGCAAACA
RNAcentral lists this ribosomal RNA (207 nucleotides) under uncultured Clostridium sp. RNAcentral describes it as "partial 16S ribosomal RNA". It matches the Rfam family "Bacterial small subunit ribosomal RNA", at positions 568 to 774 of the family's 1533-position model. Lineage: Bacteria; Bacillati; Bacillota; Clostridia; Eubacteriales; Clostridiaceae. The record is from RNAcentral.